CCGUACCGGAAGGUGCGGCUGGAUCACCUCCUUUCU
RNAcentral lists this ribosomal RNA (36 nucleotides) under Mycobacteroides abscessus. RNAcentral's name for it is "partial 16S ribosomal RNA". The record is from RNAcentral. Lineage: Bacteria; Bacillati; Actinomycetota; Actinomycetes; Mycobacteriales; Mycobacteriaceae.